GUCGGGGUGGGGCAAGGGCGUAGGUAGUUAGGUUUCGAUUUUGCUGAGUGUGACAUGCCUUAGUGGGCAUGCGUGCUAUCCGGGAUGGCAGGAACCGGGGGAAGAUAAACCCGGAAAUGCUGAGUCAGGGUGGCCAAGAUGGUUGCCUGUCGCCAUCUUGGGGCCUUCACCAGAGUCCAAACAAAAAGCUAAGCUAGGGCCUGGUUCUGGUCCCAGUCUAGCAUUGGAACCACUUCUAGGAACGUUUCUUGCUGAGUCAGCUUGUCAUACCGAUCCUGGUCUACGUUUUGAACCUUACUUUUGAGGUGAAAAGCUAAGCUAGGGCCUUGUUCUGGUCCCUGUCUAGCAUUGGAACCACUUCUAGGAACAUUUCUUGCUGAGUCAGCUUGUCAUACAGAUCCUGGUGUAUAUUUUGAACCUUAUUUUGAGGUGAAAUGCUGAGCUAGGGCCUGGUUCUGGUCCCAGUCUAGCAUUGGAACCACUUCUAGGAACGUUUCUUGCUGAGUCAGCUUGUCAUACAGAUCCUGGUCUACAUUUUGAACCUUACUUUUGAGGUGAAAAGUGAAAGGCAAUGGAAGGGUGCCGCGGAGAAAAAGCGUUGAGAGGCAGGGCAAAGAAGGCAAAGGUUCCUUUAUUAAGCUCUCGGGCGAGGUUCACUGGUCCGCAGGGGAGGGCCAGGGAAGUCCAACUGUGUUGGAGGUGCAGCACGCUUAUAUGGACACUAGCUGAGGUAGGGGCGGAGUUGGGGUGGGGCAAGGGCGGAGUUAAUUAGGUUUCAUUUUGAUGAGUGUGAUGCGCCUUAGUGGGCACACGUGCUAGCCCGGGAUGGUGGGAACGGGGGGAAGAUGAACCCGGAAAUGCUGAGUCAGGGUGGCCAAGAUGGUUGCCUGUCGCCAUCUUGGGGCCUUCACCAGAGUCCAAACAAAAAGCUAAGCUAGGGCCUGGUUCUGCUCCCAGUCUAGCAUUGGAACCACUUCUAGGAACGUUUCUUGCUGAGUCAGCUUGUCAUACAGAUCCUAGUCUACAUUUUGAACCUUACUUUUGAGGUGAAAAGCUCAGCUAGGUCCUGAUUCUGGUCCCAGUCUAGCAUUGGAACCACUUCUAGGAAUGUUUCUUGCUGAGUCAGCUUGUCAUACAGAUCCUGGUCUACAUUUAGAACCUUGCUUUUGAGGUGAAAAGUGAAAGGCAAUGGAAGAGUUCCGUAGACAAAAAGGGUCGAGAGGCAGGGCAAAGAAUGCAAAAGUUCCUUUAUUAAGCUCUUGGGCGAGGUUCACUGGUCCGCCGGGAAAGGCUGGGGAAGUCGCACUGUGUUGGAGGUGCAGCAUGCUUAUAUGGACACUAGGUGAGUUAGGGGCGGAUUCGGGGUGGGGCAAGGGCGGAGCUAGUUAGGUUUUAUUUUCCUGAGUGUGACCCGCCUUAGCGGGCACGCGUUCUUGCCGGGAUGGCGGGAACGGGGGGAAGAUGAACCCGCUAAUGCUGAGUCAGGGUGGCCAAGAUGGUUGCCUGUCGCCAUCUUGGGGCCUUCACCGGAGUCCAAACAAAAAGCUAAGCUAGGGCCUGGUUCUGGUCCCUGUCUAGCAUUGGAACCACUUCUAGGAACGUUUCUUGCUGAGUCAGCUUGUUAUACAGAUCCUGGUCUACAUUUUCAACCUACUUUUGAGGUGAAAAGCUAAGCUAGGGCCUGGUUCUGGUCCUAGUCUUGCAUUGGAACCACUUCUAGGAACGUUUCUUGCUGAGUCAGCUUGUCAUACAGAUCCUGAUGUGCAGCAGCAAAUUGCUCUGGCUCCAGGGGCAGGUCUCCAGCUGAAUGUGUGCCUAGGAAUGGAAUCAAAGCCUCAUCAAAAUCUCAGUCAGUUCCUGAGGCAGAAGAGAUGGGUGUGUCUUAUCCAAGAUUUCUCUGGCUCCAGGGGCAGGUCUCCAGCUGAAUCUGUGCCUACAAAUGGAAUCAAAGUCUCAUCAAAGUCUCAGUUCCCGAGGCAGAAGAGAUGGGUGUGUCUUAUCCAAGAUUUCUCUGGCUCCAGGGGCAGGUCUCCAGCUGAAUCUGUGCCUACAAAUGGAAUCAAAGUCUCAUCAAAGUCUCAGUUCCUGAGGCAGAAGAGAUGGGUGUGUCUUAUCCAAGAUUUCUCUGGCUCCAGGGGCAAGUCUCCAGCUGAAUCUGUGCCUACAAUGCAAACAAAGUCUCAUCAAAGUCUCAGUUCCUGAGGCAGAAGAGAUGGGUGUGUCUUAUCCAAGAUUUCUCUGGCUCCAGGGGCAGGUCUCCAGCAGAAUCUGUGCCUACAAAUGGAAUCAAAGUCUCAUCAAAGUCUCAGUCAGUUCCUGAGGCAGAAGAGGUGGGUGUGUCUUAUCCAAGAUUUCUCUUAUGGAACAAAGUUACAUCAAAGCCAAUUUAAAAGCCUAUGUAAAAAAAAUUAUUAUUAUUGAUGCAAUGUAUACAAAUAUAUAGACCAAUAUAAUAAGUUAACUAUUCCUACCAUGAUUUGUCUUUAGUAAAAUGGGAAACUGGAGAAAAACUUAUGUUUCCAAAUGAUUAUAUAUCUGUGUUAGAUUCUAGUCUUGCCUAAUUUUUUUUCAAUUUGGAUUACUUUCUACAGUUUGGACCAAAUUCUAAUUUUUUUUAUUACAAGUCUCCAAAAUAAUUUUUAAAUUUUUUUCCUUCUUUUUUCCAUUUUUCCUAAUUUGGAGUCACCGAAAACUAAGCUGUGCUUUCUUAAAAUCCUGUGAACUGAAGCCAGACAACUUAAACUUCAGAAGAAAAUAACAGCAACCUAUUUACAUACAUAAACCACUUUCAUACCUGCCUACUGAUGCAUAGACUUCAGAGUAAUGUGGCCUAUAUCAAAUGUUUCCCGGAUUGUUCUUUUGUUUGUUGUUGUUUUCUCUCUCUUCCUCCCACUAUUUUCUCUUCACAGGACAUGAGACUUAACAACCUGCUAAAAAUGAGCUUUUGGGACCUACCCAUCAAGGAAUAAACUGUCCUCGCCAUGAGAGAUCAAAUGAAACCUGAGACCAGAGACUUAUUUUCUUGUAAAAUGCUUUCUCCAACAGGUUUUUAAAAAGAAAAGGGUGGAAAUGUGAAAGGAAAAUAUCUGUGGUCCCCAAAAUCACGAAGGAAAAGUCAAGCCGGGAACUGCUUAGGGCAAACCUGCCUCCCAUUCUAUUCAAAGUCACUCCUCUGCCCAAUCAGAUAGAUGCUUAUCUGAUUUGCCUCCUUUGGAAAGGCUGAUCAGAAACUCAAAAGAAUGGAACCAUUUGUGUAUCAGCCAUCUGUGACCUGGAAGCUUCCUCCCCACUUCAGUCUUCCUGCCUUUGCUUCAAGUUGUCCUGUCUUUCCAGAUGAAGCAAUGUACUUCUUAACAUAUAUUGACUGAUGUCUCAUGAUGUCUCCCUAAAUGUAUGAAACCAAGCUGUGCCUGACAACCUUGGGCAUAUUUUGUCAAGACUUCCCUGAGGCU
This 3452-nucleotide long non-coding RNA is filed under the name Pan troglodytes (chimpanzee). Its description in RNAcentral is "long non-coding RNA NONPTRT006783". Lineage: Eukaryota; Metazoa; Chordata; Mammalia; Primates; Hominidae. The record is from RNAcentral.